CCGUCCUUUUUUUUCUUCGUCUUUUGGACCGAGGGAUUUACAGAGGCAGUCGACUGUCAAGGUUCCAGGCGCUUCUGGUCCACUGACCAUAAUUAAGCACCUCUGUGGGUCCGAAGGGGGCCCAUUACAGGAUCGUUUCUAUAUGGGCCGGUUCGCCGAGCCGCGCCAUGCUCGUCUUCAGGCUCCGGAGUCCGGACGGAGUCGCGGGCCGUGGCCCUGCCUCAGUAUUUCCUCUUCCCCGCGAUAGGCAACAGAAACCGCAGCAUAACAAGGAAAGCGAAGCGAACCCUCGCCGCGCGAGUUAGCGAUGGCCGGAGAGGACGCCGCCGCCGCGAGGAGGCCCCCGAAGGAGGAGGAGGAGGAGGAAGAUGACGACGAUUUGGACAACGUUCCGCUGGCACUUUCCAGGGCCAAGAAAACCGGGUAAUGCGAGCGCCUCCAAGGUCAAGAAGGAGGAGGAGGACGAUGACGACGACUUGGACAACGUUCCGCUCGCACUUUCCAGGGCUAAGAAGGGAAACGAGAAGCAGAAAGGCAACAAUAGCAAUAUGAAGGCUUCUUCGAAAGUCAAGAAAGAAGUCAGUUCUGAUGAUGAUUUUGUCAUGCCAACGGCGCAGAAGAAAAGUGCAGGUGCUGCUGGAAGUAAUGCCAAGACAUCCAAGGUUAAAAAAAUUAAAGAUGAAGAUUUGGAAGAUCUCAAGGAGGACAAGAAAAGGAAGAAACGAGUGGGUGUCAAAGAAGAGGCAAAGUUGGCCUUGGCCAUUGUAAAGGGAGAGAAGGUUAAGAAAGAGAGGAAAGUGUAUGGUUUGCCAGGGCAGAAGCAUGAUCCUCCUGAAGAAAGGGAUCCAUUGAGGAUAUUCUAUGAAUCACUCUAUGAGCAGGUCCCCACCAGUGACAUGGCUGCAACCUGGUUGAUGGAAUGGGGUUUUGCUCCCGGUGGAUGUGGCUAGAAAAUGUUUUGAGAAGAAACAAGGUCAGAAGGUUAAGUCACCAGUCAAAGCAAUUGUGGCGAAGAGAAUUCCUUCUUCUCCAGCCAAGACACUGCCUUCAUCUGCAAAGAAGUUAGUUAUGCCUUCAAAACAGUGCUGGAAAGCUGAAGUCUCAGAAGAAAAGGAAGGCAAGUGAUGACACAGAUGAUGACGACGACGACGAUGAUUUUGUAGCUUCUAAAGCAAAGACCAAGAGGCACAAGGCCUAGUUAGGUCCUAGCAUCUCAUUAUCCUAGUAAUGAGACGUGUUCUUCAGACAAUUUCUAGCUCGGAUGACCUUGGAUGAUUGUUCCUUCCAUUGGUUUGCUCAUUUGGGGCGCGCAACUAAAUUAUGUGAAGUAGCGUGUUGUGUUGUGUCAAGAAGUACCACUUGUCGAUGGCCUUUUCAGAUCUGGAAUGAAGGUAAGUUCCUGCAAACUUUCACUUGGUUAGCA
RNA transcript from Zea mays, 1423 nucleotides. It is a transcript of the gene named ABC transporter F family member 4-like, with no coding region annotated. The record is from RefSeq and is a predicted model, not a curated record. The transcript has 6 exons. NCBI's taxonomy places the organism in Eukaryota, Viridiplantae, Streptophyta, Magnoliopsida, Poales, Poaceae.